UACAGAGGGGGCAAGCGUUGUUCGGAAUUACUGGGCGUAAAGGGCGCGUAGGCGGCCUGUUAAGUCGAACGUGAAAUCCCCGGGCUCAACCCGGGAACUGCGUCCGAUACUGGCAGGCUUGAAUCCGGGAGAGGGAUGCGGAAUUCCAGGUGUAGCGGUGAAAUGCGUAGAUAUCGGGAGGAACACCUGUGGCGAAAGCGGCGCACUGGACCACAACUGACGCUGAGGCGCGAAAGCUAGGGGAGCAAACAGG
RNAcentral lists this ribosomal RNA (253 nucleotides) under uncultured bacterium. Its description in RNAcentral is "partial 16S ribosomal RNA". It matches the Rfam family "Bacterial small subunit ribosomal RNA", at positions 524 to 776 of the family's 1533-position model. The record is from RNAcentral.